UUGUAUGGGCCUAUGUCUUUUCUCCUCCCUUGUGCUCAAUUCUAACAGGGGAGGCUGACGGGACACACAGCAGUCUCCCUCUCAGUUUAGGAGAGCUGUCCUAAGAAUAGGGCUGGCUCUUAAAGGCACGAAGGGCAGU
Molecule: non-coding RNA, 139 nt
Organism: Bison bison bison
Lineage: Eukaryota; Metazoa; Chordata; Mammalia; Artiodactyla; Bovidae
Source: Ensembl